CUUCUGGGCUUCUCGUCUUUCCUUCUCAUGUAUAAUGGGAAAGCAUGUUAGGCCCAGAGCUCAGACGUGGGAGUCUGUGAGAGCGGCAGCUCCGAGACGGUAAGCGGAGGUGACAAGUUCCUGGCAAUAUUAAACAUUAACGCUGAAUAUUUUGUUGGUAUUUAACUCCAGGACGUUUCAUGUUCCCGAGCAGAGGCAGAACAUCCCCUCACCCUCUCCGCUUUGUUCUUCCCUCCUGUGCUCUGUACGUGCAGCAGGCAGGGAUGUGAGGUGCCAGCUCCUGCAAGGCUGAGAUGGCUUCAUACACACAGAGAGAGCGGGGUAUGAAGGUUUUGUUCUGGAAGCGAGUGAGGCUCAGGGAAGAAAAAGCACAAAAACUCUCACCCUUUGAGCAAAAGAGAAGAGAGAUUUCUGGGACUUCCCACAUGAAUAUUUGAUGAGCUACCUGAGAAAGAGCUUAAGGGAUGUAAGGCUGAAGAUGGGAGGCAGUGUGGUGCGGUGGACUAACUGCACCCCAGCUCUGGGCUAGCUGAAAGCUGCAUGCCUCCACCCACCCAUGCAGACCAGGCUCAAACUGGAACAAGUAACCAGCAAGAGGCUCCUUGCCCUCCAGAAGCAAAUGAAAACUGCCCGCUUGCUCUGCUACACAUCUGCCAGCUGCAGCAAGACACAGCAUCAGGAUUAAUGUGGGUUCCUGAUGUUCUUUUGUGGCUGUGGAACAACAGUUACCUGUUCAUACACUGUACCUUCACAUAUAUGCACAGAAAUACACGUGUGUAUAUUCAGCUACGUAAAUAGUGUCCCAUACAGAAAUGCUCUUGUGUAACAGUGAGGAGCAUUGCAGAUGCAAAUGCUUCAAGCUCAUUUGCAUGAGGUAAUAGAUUGUAUACACUCAUCAAAUACAUAAUACUGCUGAGCUUGGUCAUGUUUAUGAUUUCAAGGGGUGCAAAAGGGAAGAAUCAUGGUAAAUCUGAAGAUAUGUCCUUCUAGCUCUAUCAUAGAAGAGGCAGAAGUGGCUCCAUAGCAGGGUUUAGUCUCUGAAGAAUUUGGCUCUAAGUCCCACUUGGAGCCAAAAUGUGGCAGAUUGUUUUGUUUAUUUAUUUUCAGGAUAGAAAGUUCUCUUUGAGUUUUCAGGGACCUUUUAGAGGGUGUUUUGGUCAUUGGCAAGGAGAAAAAGAAACAAGUGGUAAAAAACAGUCAUCCUUUCACUCCCUCACUCUGACGUAAAACUGCGGUGCAUCAGAACUCUUGUCUGGUGUACAGCUGUGCACCAGGGAUCUUUAUGCAGAGUUAUUCUCCCUGGGGAAGAUGUGGGGUUGGGGCUUAGGUCUGCAUUAAAGUGCAGUCACAGGGAAUGAGAUAUGAACAUUGCAUCAUCGUGCAGUUUGGAAUUUAUGAAGAUGAGGGAAAAGAAGGCAGCAAAUGCUUCAUGUGAAGAUGAAGGCAUACUAAAUGUUUUAAUGACUGCAAUGUAUUUGUCUAUGUCUAUGAAAAGGUGUAGUGUGCAGGUGCUACCAGACAUUGCUAGUAAAAUUGCACAGUUUGUUCUUUUUUCUUCUUUUUUUUCUGUCGAAAGGAAUGAGUUUUUCCACUUC
Long non-coding RNA from Coturnix japonica (Japanese quail), 1595 nucleotides. Lineage: Eukaryota; Metazoa; Chordata; Aves; Galliformes; Phasianidae. The record is from Ensembl.